RNAcentral lists this ribosomal RNA (590 nucleotides) under uncultured bacterium. RNAcentral's name for it is "bacterial SSU rRNA". It matches the Rfam family "Bacterial small subunit ribosomal RNA", at positions 70 to 656 of the family's 1533-position model. The record is from RNAcentral.
CAGGAGUAGCUUUGCUACUUUGCUGACGACCGGCGCACGGGUGCGUAACGCGUAUAGAAUCUACCUUGUACUAGGGGAUAGCCUUUGGAAACGAAGAUUAAUACCCUAUAGUAAGUAUUUAUGGCAUCAUUUAUACUUUAAAGGUUACGGUACAAGAUGACUAUGCGUCCUAUUAGUUUGUUGGUGAGGUAACGGCUCACCAAGACUUCGAUAGGUAGGGGCCCUGAGAGGGGGAUCCCCCACACUGGUACUGAGACACGGACCAGACUCCUACGGGAGGCAGCAGUGAGGAAUAUUGGACAAUGGAGGCAACUCUGAUCCAGCCAUGCCGCGUGCAGGAUGACGGCCCUAUGGGUUGUAAACUGCUUUUAUGUAGGAAGAAACACUCUCACGUGUGAGAGCUUGACGGUACUACAAGAAUAAGGACCGGCUAACUCCGUGCCAGCAGCCGCGGUAAUACGGAGGGUCCAAGCGUUAUCCGGAAUCAUUGGGUUUAAAGGGUCCGUAGGCGGGCUAUUAAGUCAGAGGUGAAAGUUUGCAGCUCAACUGUAAAAUUGCCUUUGAAACUGGUAGUCUUGAAUUAUUAUGAA